This 661-nucleotide long non-coding RNA is filed under the name Nicotiana tabacum (common tobacco). Its description in RNAcentral is "long non-coding RNA (NTAB_LNC011643)". Lineage: Eukaryota; Viridiplantae; Streptophyta; Magnoliopsida; Solanales; Solanaceae. The record is from RNAcentral.
CAGAAGACGCAAAGAUGGUGUCAAGUCAAUUAGUAACCCAAAGAAGGUGUUUAUGGAAGAUAAAAAGGCUUCAGCUCCAUUUAUGUGGAGAUGGCUGGAGUUCGGAAAGUAACUCAAAAGUGGUUUCUGCUGAGUUCUAGGGUACUGGUAGUUGAUUUACUCAGAGAAUGUUUAUCCGAAGUAGUUAAUGGUGAUAGCCUGACGAGAAUGUUUUAUCAGAAAGAAUUAUUUAGUAAAUAUGGACACUAGAAGUUUAUUUAUUCUGGAAGAUAAUGUUUUUGUAUGAUGGUUGACGGUUAAAAUUUCAGGUUUUGAUGGCGGAAACAUUGUCCUCGUAGUAGCUCUGAACUUAGCUCCCGGAGGUAUGUCAUUUUUCUGUCACCUUUACUUACAUUUUGUUGAGUCAUGCUGCUAUGGUUUAGGUAAUUCCUUUAUCUCAUUUUAUAUGACUUGUCUAGUCUAGCAACAGAUUAUCUAGAAUCACGAAUUAUAUAGCAAAUGUCGUGAAGUUAUUUCAAUGUCAAGAAUCAUGAUCAUUUAUUUUUGUUUUUCUUUUGCACCCUGGGAUCACUCAUCAGAAGGAGAACCACUAUGAUCCACUUCCUUCAGAUCUUGAUACUUGUAAAACCAAGCACAUGUUACAUAGUAACCAAAGUUCAAU